This is a long non-coding RNA of Galeopterus variegatus (Sunda flying lemur), 469 nucleotides long. RefSeq lists it as uncharacterized. The transcript is spliced from 3 exons. The record is from RefSeq and is a predicted model, not a curated record. Lineage: Eukaryota; Metazoa; Chordata; Mammalia; Dermoptera; Cynocephalidae.
GGCCGUGGACCCCUACUUUUGGCGGCUGUCAAGGUCCGAGGGGAAACGAAGGGGUCGGUAACAAGCAGAGGCGGACUCGAACUGUCCUCGUGUCCUCCAAUAGGGGACUUGGAAUGGAUUCUCCCGUAGCCCGGGCAACGCAUCCCAAUAAACGCCAGCUGUGAGCGGGAGGUGCAGAGGCCCUUUGCAGAGGAGGCCUCCUGCGGGAAGUACUCGCUCAAGCUCGAGGGUGACUUGCAGCCUUUGUCGCUCCUGCAGCCGAGUUAACCCGGACUGGAGCUGGGACGAUCUGAUCUCGGUUGUCGGAUCUGGUGCCCUUCGGAGAGAGGCUGUGCAGACACUGGGAAUACGGUGGUUAAAAAACCAACCAAACAAACAAACCAAACAAAAAUCAAAACUCAUACUAUGGUUCUUGACUUUGUGGAAUAAACAGUUUAAUGGAGGCAAACAGCUGUUAAUUAGAGGAUCC